AGCAUCCACACCUAUACUAUUUCCUUACAAAUCACACCACUGGUCAUCAGACUUUAAAGCCAGUAAUACAUGAACAAGAGAAUUUCCAUUAAGAAAAGGACCAAGCCUUUUCAGCAACAAGAUUCUCCAUUCUUAAAAAGUGAGAAGUCCAGGUAGAAUCCACAAGCCUUCCCAUACCAUGCUUGGCAAAAAUCUUUCACUCAAAGACUCAUGCCUCCUCACACGCUACCCAGACCCUGUGCUGCCUAUCCUGGUUCAGUUCUGCUGAACAAGAAGUUGGGAU
RNAcentral lists this unclassified non-coding RNA (283 nucleotides) under Hevea brasiliensis (rubber tree). Lineage: Eukaryota; Viridiplantae; Streptophyta; Magnoliopsida; Malpighiales; Euphorbiaceae. The record is from RNAcentral.